GCUCUGUUCCUGUAGAAAAUCAGAAUUUGGGAGGAGGUUUGGCUUAUAGAUAUAGGAAAUUUAAAGGUGGGCUCCCCCACGUUGGCUCCCUUUGUCUCCUUCAAGGAUGUUGCUAGCCCGUCAUCCAAGAGCUGUCGGAGUUCUGCUCUUGGUCAGAGAGGCCGCGGAAAUGUUCUCACGAUAGGACACGAGAGAACUCGAGGCAGGCUGGCUUUAUUUAGAACAGCUGAAAUACUUGCACAUUUCCACUCCUGGGUCACCGGAGACAGGAAUGCGUUUCCUGCAGCUUCCUAAGAGGUCGGACCAUGGGGAAGGAGGUCUCGGGACCCCACGGACCUAACUCCCUGAUCUUCCUUGUCCAUUGUCAUCCUGUUCGAGGCUGAGGGAGAUGUGAGAGGUUGCAUCUGUCCCCCACCUGGAAAGGAUAAAAUCAGCAGGCACAGGACAUACCAGAGAAUGGACCGAUAAAAGCGUGCAGGAUGCAGGGGGAAAAAAACCAAUGGCCACAAUUGAAGCAUCAGAGGGCCAAUCCUGCCAUUUGUAUUUAACGUCUAUAGAAUUCUGAGCAAUUGAUUUAACCUCCCCAGCCUCAGUUUCCUCAUCUGUAAAAUGAAUAAGUUGAAACAGAUGGUUUCAGAGAUUGCCAGCUCUAGUUUCUAUGACUUUAAAAUCUUAGGAGACAGGAGAUCAUUCUGUGCAGCAACAACCAGAUUAUACAAUCCUCAGUUCUGAUGGACAUGGUUCUCUUCAACAAUGAGAUAAUUCAGGCCAGUUCCAUGGCCUUGGUUUUUUUUUUUUUAUUAUUAAAGCUUUUUUUUAUUUUCAAAGCAUAUGCAAGGAUAAUUUUUCAACACUGACCCUUGCAAAAUCUUGUGUUCCAAAUUUCUCCCUCCCCUUUCCCCCAUUCCAUCCCCUAGAUGGCGAGUAAUCCAAUACAUGUUAAAAGAUUGAAAAAUUAUCCAUGCAUAUGCUUUGAAAAUAAAAAGCUUUAAUAAAAAAGAAAAAAUACACAUUAAGUCCAAUAUCUGUAUACAUAUUUAUACAACUAUCAUGCUUUACAAGAAAAAUCAGAUCAAAAAGGGGGGUAAAUGAGAAAGAAAACAAAAUGCAAGCAAAGAAUAAAAAGAGUGUAAAUGCUAUGUUGCGAUCCAUACUCAGUUCUCAUAGUCCUCUCUCUGGGUGCAGAAAAUGAGUGGAUGCCCAUCAGUUGGGGAAUGGCUG
RNAcentral lists this long non-coding RNA (1221 nucleotides) under Sarcophilus harrisii (Tasmanian devil). RNAcentral's name for it is "lncRNA (ENSSHAG00000020829.1)". Lineage: Eukaryota; Metazoa; Chordata; Mammalia; Dasyuromorphia; Dasyuridae. The record is from RNAcentral.